Molecule: transfer RNA, 75 nt
Filed under: Ctenophora environmental sample
Lineage: Eukaryota; Metazoa; Ctenophora
Rfam family: tRNA
About the family: Transfer RNA (tRNA) molecules are approximately 80 nucleotides in length.
Source: RNAcentral
CAUAUGGCCGAAUGGUAAGGCGGUAGACUGUAAAUUUAUUGAUAAUUAUCGUUGUUAGUUCGAAUCUAGCUAUGC